GGAAAGAUUUUUUGGUUGGGGAUGGGCUCGCGGCCUAUCAGCUUGUUGGUGAGGUAAUGGCUCACCAAGGCGUCGACGGGUAGCCGGCCUGAGAGGGUGACCGGCCACACUGGGACUGAGACACGGCCCAGACUCCUACGGGAGGCAGCAGUGGGGAAUAUUGCACAAUGGGCGGAAGCCUGAUGCAGCAACGCCGCGUGAGGGAUGACGGCCUUCGGGUUGUAAACCUCUUUUAGCAGGGAAGAAGCGAAAGUGACGGUACCUGCAGAAAAAGCGCCGGCUAACUACGUGCCAGCAGCCGCGGUAAUACGUAGGGCGCAAGCGUUAUCCGGAAUUAUUGGGCGUAAAGAGCUCGUAGGCGGUUUGUCGCGUCUGCUGUGAAAUCCCGAGGCUCAACCUCGGGCCUGCAGUGGGUACGGGCAGACUAGAGUGCGGUAGGGGAGAUUGGAAUUCCUGGUGUAGCGGUGGAAUGCGCAGAUAUCAGGAGGAACACCGAUGGCGAAGGCAGAUCUCUGGGCCGUAACUGACGCUGAGGAGCGAAAGGGUGGGGAGCAAACAGGCUUAGAUACCCUGGUAGUCCACCCCGUAAACGUUGGGAACUAGUUGUGGGGUCCAUUCCACGGAUUCCGUGACGCAGCUAACGCAUUAAGUUCCCCGCCUGGGGAGUACGGCCGCAAGGCUAAAACUCAAAGGAAUUGACGGGGACCCGCACAAGCGGCGGAGCAUGCGGAUUAAUUCGAUGCAACGCGAAGAACCUUACCAAGGCUUGACAUAUACGAGAACGGGCCAGAAAUGGUCAACUCUUUGGACACUCGUAAACAGGUGGUGCAUGGUUGUCGUCAGCUCGUGUCGUGAGAUGUUGGGUUAAGUCCCGCAACGAGCGCAACCCUCGUUCUAUGUUGCCAGCACGUAAUGGUGGGAACUCAUGGGAUACUGCCGGGGUCAACUCGGAGGAAGGUGGGGAUGACGUCAAAUCAUCAUGCCCCUUAUGUCUUGGGCUUCACGCAUGCUACAAUGGCCGGUACAAUGGGCAGCGAUACCGUGAGGUGGAGCGAAUCCCAAAAAGCCGGUCCCAGUUCGGAUUGAGGUCUGCAACUCGACCUCAUGAAGUCGGAGUCGCUAGUAAUCGCAGAUCAGCAACGCUGCGGUGAAUACGUUCCCGGGUCUUGUACACACCGCCCGUCAAGUCAUGAAAGUCGGUAACACCUGAAG
This 1212-nucleotide ribosomal RNA is filed under the name Microbacterium sp. RNAcentral describes it as "bacterial SSU rRNA". It matches the Rfam family "Bacterial small subunit ribosomal RNA", at positions 201 to 1426 of the family's 1533-position model. The record is from RNAcentral. Lineage: Bacteria; Bacillati; Actinomycetota; Actinomycetes; Micrococcales; Microbacteriaceae.